This 253-nucleotide ribosomal RNA is filed under the name uncultured bacterium. RNAcentral describes it as "partial 16S ribosomal RNA". It matches the Rfam family "Bacterial small subunit ribosomal RNA", at positions 524 to 776 of the family's 1533-position model. The record is from RNAcentral.
UACGUAGGGGGCAAGCGUUGUCCGGAUUUAUUGGGCGUAAAGAGCGUGUAGGCGGCCAGGCAGGUCCGUUGUGAAAACUCGAGGCUCAACCUCGAGACGUCGGCGGAAACCCUCUGGCUAGAGUCCGGAAGAGGAGAGUGGAAUUCCUGGUGUAGCGGUGAAAUGCGCAGAUAUCAGGAAGAACACCCGUGGCGAAGGCGGCUCUCUGGGACGGUACUGACGCUGAGACGCGAAAGCGUGGGGAGCGAACAGG